Molecule: ribosomal RNA, 1468 nt
Filed under: uncultured organism
Description: SSU rRNA
Rfam family: Bacterial small subunit ribosomal RNA
Source: RNAcentral
GCGGCGUGCCUAAUACAUGCAAGUCGAGCGAACAGACGAGGAGCUUGCUCCUUUGACGUUAGCGGCGGACGGGUGAGUAACACGUGGAUAACCUACCUAUAAGACUGGGAUAACUUCGGGAAACCGGAGCUAAUACCGGAUAACAUGUUGAACCGCAUGGUUCAACAGUGAAAGACGGUCUUGCUGUCACUUAUAGAUGGAUCCGCGCCGCAUUAGCUAGUUGGUAAGGUAACGGCUUACCAAGGCAACGAUGCGUAGCCGACCUGAGAGGGUGAUCGGCCACACUGGAACUGAGACACGGUCCAGACUCCUACGGGAGGCAGCAGUAGGGAAUCUUCCGCAAUGGGCGAAAGCCUGACGGAGCAACGCCGCGUGAGUGAAGAAGGUCUUCGGAUCGUAAAACUCUGUUAUUAGGGAAGAACAAAUGUGUAAGUAACUAUGCACGUCUUGACGGUACCUAAUCAGAAAGCCACGGCUAACUACGUGCCAGCAGCCGCGGUAAUACGUAGGUGGCAAGCGUUAUCCGGAAUUAUUGGGCGUAAAGCGCGCGUAGGCGGUUUUUUAAGUCUGAUGUGAAAGCCCACGGCUCAACCGUGGAGGGUCAUUGGAAACUGGAAAACUUGAGUGCAGAAGAGGAAAGUGGAAUUCCAUGUGUAGCGGUGAAAUGCGCAGAGAUAUGGAGGAACACCAGUGGCGAAGGCGACUUUCUGGUCUGUAACUGACGCUGAUGUGCGAAAGCGUGGGGAUCAAACAGGAUUAGAUACCCUGGUAGUCCACGCCGUAAACGAUGAGUGCUAAGUGUUAGGGGGUUUCCGCCCCUUAGUGCUGCAGCUAACGCAUUAAGCACUCCGCCUGGGGAGUACGACCGCAAGGUUGAAACUCAAAGGAAUUGACGGGGACCCGCACAAGCGGUGGAGCAUGUGGUUUAAUUCGAAGCAACGCGAAGAACCUUACCAAAUCUUGACAUCCUCUGACCCCUCUAGAGAUAGAGUUUUCCCCUUCGGGGGACAGAGUGACAGGUGGUGCAUGGUUGUCGUCAGCUCGUGUCGUGAGAUGUUGGGUUAAGUCCCGCAACGAGCGCAACCCUUAAGCUUAGUUGCCAUCAUUAAGUUGGGCACUCUAAGUUGACUGCCGGUGACAAACCGGAGGAAGGUGGGGAUGACGUCAAAUCAUCAUGCCCCUUAUGAUUUGGGCUACACACGUGCUACAAUGGACAAUACAAAGGGUAGCGAAACCGCGAGGUCAAGCAAAUCCCAUAAAGUUGUUCUCAGUUCGGAUUGUAGUCUGCAACUCGACUACAUGAAGCUGGAAUCGCUAGUAAUCGUAGAUCAGCAUGCUACGGUGAAUACGUUCCCGGGUCUUGUACACACCGCCCGUCACACCACGAGAGUUUGUAACACCCGAAGCCGGUGGAGUAACCUUUUGGAGCUAGCCGUCGAAGGUGGGACAAAUGAUUGGGGUGAAGUCG